Molecule: long non-coding RNA, 7739 nt
Filed under: Triticum aestivum (bread wheat)
Lineage: Eukaryota; Viridiplantae; Streptophyta; Magnoliopsida; Poales; Poaceae
Description: long non-coding RNA (TAES_LNC001708)
Source: RNAcentral
UUUCCCUUCCCCUCACUCGCCCCCAUCUCCCUCUGCCCCGCUCACACCCGCCGCCGUCCGCGACCCCCAUGGCCGCACCGCCGUGAAGCUUGCGGCCACAGUCGACCCCGGCAACUAGGAGCUUGACCAUCGGCCUCGUCAUCCUCGUCUACAUCGUCCCCGCCUCUGGAUCGAGGCCAAAACGCUGCCUCGCCGUCGCUAGCCUCCUGCAUCUCCAUCACGCCCGCCGCGUUUCGCCGUUCACCUGCGCAUCCUCGACCAGCCACGGCCGCCCCGAGCACGCCAUCGAGCUCCGCGGUGAGCACCGUGCCGAUUUCCCUAUUUUCCCCUGCCUCCCGUUGUCGUAGCCGUCAUGCCUACCCAUGGCUGCCAUGGACGAAGAUCGCCGUUGCCGCGGCCAGAGCCCGCGCCCAGGUCGCGCCCCGGCCUUCCGCUGUCCGCGCUCGGCCGCGCCCCCGCAGCGCUCGUUCCUGCCUUGGUGUUGCCCUGUGCCGUGCGCUGCUGCUCGCCAUCAGCUGCUUUCCGCUGGCCCCUGGCUGCGACUGCUACUUGCUUUUGCCUGCUGCUGUUGUCGCCAUCCCUGCCCGCGCCCGCCUGAGCGGCUGCGCCGGGCCACGGCUGCUCCCGUACGUGCCUGCCGCUGCUGGCUUCGGCAGCGCUCGUGCGUGCACACCAGCCAUGGCUGAGCGCCCGUGCUAGUGUGUGCGUUAUGGGCGUGCGUGAUGUGUGUGCGUAUGAGUAGGGCCGGCCUGUGUGUGCGUAUGAGUAGAGCCGGCCCUCUCUUUAGAUUAGGGGCUAAUCCCUUUUUAAGCUAAUCCUCUGUUAGUUUAAUUUAAUUGCAGGUCUAGUUUAGUAGUACCAAAUGACAUGUGGGUCCCCUUUAAUUAAGUUAAAUAAAUUAUUUUAGAAUUUUAAUAAAACACUGACGUGUGGGACCCCUAGGCCCAUUGACCAGUCAACGGGUCAACGUUGAUUGCUGACUGGGCAGUCAACGGGCCCACUGUCAUCAUCUGGUGCGCUGCACCGGGUGCACCUAGCAAUUUCCUGUUUAUUUUUCGAAUUAGUAAUAAUUUCAAAAAAUUCAGAAAAUGUUUAAAUCUUUGAAAAAUCGUAGAAAAAUAACCCUAGCUCGGAUCGAAAACCUUUAUACAUGAAAAUUCCUCAGAAAAAUCCAACGAAUCCGAAUACGAGGUCCGUUUUCCUGUCAGAUGCCUCUAACUAUCUGAACAUGGAACAUUGCCCCUCCGGUCAUCUGUCUGACACAGGUCCGGAACCGGGAAUACCUUCCCAGUUGAAUUCCCCCUUCAUCUGUUUCGUGCAGCACUACGUUAGAACAUUCAUAGUGCUGCGUAUUGCCAUGUUAUGCCUUGUGAUGCUUUGUUUGCUCUGUAUUUACUGUUUCUCCCACCUCUUCUCUUUAGUCGACCCUGUGGCGGCUGCCGAUACUGCUGUGAUCGACUACGUCAAUGACGACCCCUCCUUGUCUGAGCAAUCAGGCAAGCCCCCCUUUGAUCAUCCCGAUAUCGCCCAUUCCAUUCUCUCAUGCUUGCAUUAGAUUUUGCUACUGUAUUUGAUUGCUCCUAUUCUGAUGCAUAGCCUGCUUUUGUAACCUGUUUAUUAUUACCUACCUGGUUAUCCUAAACUGCUUAGUAUAGGUUGGUUAGUGAUCCAUCAGUGACCCCCACCUUGUCCCAGUUGCCUCGCUUUAUGUUUGAUGACUCGAUCAACGUGAUCGACGUUCAGGCCCUGACACCGCACAUCACCUCCCCUAGUUGUACGACUCUACAGAGUUACCAUCGAGUGCCGAGGGUGAAAACUCUUACAUCACUCUUGAUGAGAUCUCUGUAGUGUAGCUAUUCGGUCGUGGUCAUCGAGGGUGAUUUCCUCCUUAACCACUUCCGAUACGGCUUUGUCGUGCAACCCCUCAAGUGUGAACCUCGAGGGUGGAUCCUCUUAUGUUCACCUUGGUGAUUACAUCGAGUGGAAUUCACCGGGGGUAAUUCCUCGGGUUUUCCCCUUGGUGUUAGACACACUGUUACUAUGGUGACUAUGACUUACACUGAACCAUGUUACUAAAGACGGGUCGGCCUUGAGGGGUACCCGCGCGAGCUUAUUUGCGAGUGAUGUGGAGUCGGGUUGACCUGGAAGGUGCCCGUGAGAUUCUUACGAGGCGUGGCCGGGCAUUAUUAGCCCUUGCCACAAGUCCUCGAGACGGGGCGACGGGGUCACAUCUUUCGUGAGUCUCUACUUGUUACUGCGUACUCCUAAUCCACUACAAUUUGGAUAUUUGAUCUGAGGGGCCUCUGGCCUGAUAGCACUAACCAUCACGUGGGCAUAGUAUGGGCGUUCUGCAUCGUAUCCAUCAGCCGAAGUUUAAUAGAUGUCAGCGACUGAGCGGCGCGCGCCGGGUUGGACUGCGUAAGCUCCUGCCUUGUUUAAGAAGGUAGCUAGGUCUGCUCAUCGACCGCGUACGCAAUGUGCAGGAGUUCCCGGGGAGAUGGCCCAUGACCCCUGGGGGCAUAGGCUUAGUCCGGCGUGCGGACCUCUCUAUUAAGCCUAGGUCGGGUUGUGGCGUAUUGUUUGGCCGAGGCCGGGCAUGACCCAGGAAAGUGUGUCCGGCCGAAGUUAAUCGAGCGUGGUGGGUAAGUUGGUGCACCCCUGCAGGGAAGAAAACAUCUAUCGAUAGCCUAUCCUAUGGUAACGGACACUUAGAGUUGUAUCCCGAUCGAUACAACUAGAACUGAAUACUGAGAUGAGAAAUGAAUUGUGAUGAGAAAUGGAUAGUAUGGCUCUGGGAUUGCUUUCUCGCAGGGAGUCGAGAAAGGAUCUCUGGCCGAGGUUGAUAACACUACUACUACUUUACUUUAUGCUACUCUACUCCCUCCUGUUGCUGCAAGUUUGUGGUUUCCAAAAGAUGCUAGUCUUCGAUAGGACUAGCUUCUCCCCCUCUUAUUCUAGCAUUUCUGCAGCCCAGUCCAUAUAUACAGCCUUCCUUUGAUGAUGUUGCAUAUGUAGUGUAGAUCCUUGCAUGCUGAGUACUUCGGAUGAGUACUCACGGUUGCUUUACUUCCUCUCCCCCCUUUUUCCAUUCUUCUCGGAUGUCGCAGCCAGAUGGUGGAGCCAAGAAUCCAGACGCCACCUUCGACGACGACUACUACUACACUAAGGGUGCCUACUACUACAUGGAGGCCGCCAACGACCAGGAGUAGUUAGGAGGCUUCCGGGCAGGAGGCCUUACCUUUUCGAUCGUAGUUGCUUUUGUGCUAGCCUUCUUAAGGCAAAUUGGUUUAACUUAUGUCUGUACUCAGAUAUUGUUGCUUCUGCUGACUCGUUUGUAUUCGAGCUUAUGUAUUCGAGCCCUCGAGGCCUCUGGCUUGUAAUAUAAAGCUUGUAUUAUUUUAAUUUGUAUCUAGAGUUGUGUUGUGAUAUCUUCCCGUAAGUCCUCGAUCUUGCUCGUACACUUUUGCAUGUAUGAUUAGUGUAUGAUUGAAUCGGGGGCGUCACAAGUUGGUAUCAGAGCCGACUGCCUAUAGAUAGCCCCCUUUUCAACUCCUUGGACGAAGUUGAGUCUAGUCGUCCAAAAUUGUUUUACUAACUUGGCUGUGUGGCUUACGGGCCCACGUCGCCAUUGGGUGGUAUUAGAAUGUUUUAUUCCUCAACCUAUACUCUGGGAAUCACAUCUCUCUUCUAUUCGGGUUAAAUGAUUUUGCUAACUCUAACUCUAGGUUCUCGUAAUUACUUCCUCCCGGAGAUUCCCCCACUCAAGAUGAUUGCUUGGUGCACCAAAGGAUUCCGAAGAUACUCUCCGAUGUUCUCUCGAGACUUUGCGCUCGUUGCUUUUGCAAUUCUCUACCACCGAGAAAAAACCCUAUGGAUAACUACGUACACUUGCCAUUCUUACAAUCAUUCCUUGUUAGUCUUGUUAUUACAAGAUACCCUGAAAUUCUCUCUAUUGUUCCGAGAAUACUUUGUGCCUACUGCCUUGCAGUUCCUUGUCACAUGAAUACCCCUACGGAUAAAUUCCUCGCACUUAUCGAGUAUCCGCUCAUUCCCAGUUGUUCAUGUGUUUCAGAAAGGUCUUCGAAAUACUAUUCAACCUUUCGAAAAUCCUCAGUAGCUUAUUGCUCUUGAAAUUUUUGCCUGCUUGCAUUAUGGAUAAUCCCAUAAGUCUAGUAAUCUUAUUGGCAUCCUUUUCACUAUCAUCUUGAGUCCGUUGAUUCAAUAUGUUGUGAAUGCCAGCAAUCCUCAAUCAAAUCCUAGAAUUCAUCCUUCUAGCUCAGACGUCAUUUUGAGCAAGAGCUGGUUCUCGACCUAUCAAAUUGUCGUCGAUUGUACCCCUAAGGCUAUUCAACUUAUACAUCCCUAUUCAAACCAUUGCUUCUGAUCCCUUGUCUUGGAAUUCAUAAUUCCUUUGCAUUUGAGCUUUGAGUUAGUCAGUUGUUUCUAUAAUCUGAUGCACUUGCAUUCCUUCUUCCUUUGAUAGAGUACCGAUACUCACAUCAACUGCGUUGUAGACCACCGGACCUCUUGUUGGAUUAUUAUUCGACAGUGUCCUUAAUAUUCAAAUAACCUUGUGAGACUUUCCACGGAUAUAUAAAGCCUUUGGUAAAUUGUAUCCUCUGCUAUCUCAACCAUGCUCUGUUUUCGAGCUGGUGGUAUUUACUAUUGAAGCUUGUGGUAUAUGUUUCCACGAUACCCUGACGGGUUAAACCUAUGCCUUCCUUAAUAUGUGUGAACUCGAAAGUUUUCAUGAGUCAUACUCUUUUGAUAUUUUGCUAGAUAAAAUUUCAACACUACGACUUCUUCGAAAGUGAGAGGUGAAUGGAAGGUUAUACAUUAAAGAAGUGGGAGUCGACCCUGAAACUUUGUAUUCAUGCCCACGGACACGGUGUGGAACUUAUCAUGAAAGCUUCUUGCAAGGAUAUUUAAUCAUUUGAAUAAUUCUUCCAGUAUCGUAAAUUGGAUCCCUUGCAGUUAUAGUCCCGACCAUAUUUCCUCCUUGAUCCCAUUUAUUGGGUAAGUUAAAAUUACUUAUCCUCUGCAAAUCAUUUCCCCCGUCCAACCUCUACUCCGAUUUACCUUCUGGCAUUACACCUAGUACUUUACUGGGAAGCUUUAUACCCCAUCACAUCAUUCCUAGCUUGAUCGGAUAUUUUUUAUCAUGAUAACUUUUUAACUGUGCUACAUGGUCCUUAUGCCCGGAUCAACUUCCGACGAUGAGCUAAGCUUAUGUCGAUCUUGCUCAUCUUAUCAUUUCACCUUGAACAACAAGCUUGACUUUGAGCUUGUGUCGAAUCUGUGGUUCUCAUAGCCUUUCACUUCAUCCUCUCUUUUUUGCUUGAGGGCAUCUUCAUAGAGUCUCUCGAUAAACUUUGUCUUGAUCACCGUCAACACUUUGGCUUCUUCAGAGAUGUCAAUUGAAUUCAUGGCUAGAAAUACCAUCUUUGCCUCUAGAUCAUUUGUGUCAGCAUCAACAACAUUCUUGUCUUCCCCCCAACACAAACUUGAUCAUAUUAAUUUUGGGAAUACAUCCUUGUUGACAUGUCAAUGGAUUGCUACUAAACCCAUCGGCCACCUCCUCAUCUUUUCCCUAAUAAAAUAACAUGAUAUGUUCUAGAAAUUCCCGAUGGAUCCAUUGUGAAUCCAAGGUCCGACCUUUACCUGAUGACCAUGUCAAUGCUAUCCCGAAGCAUGAUUGUGGUACUCAAACAUCAACAAGAACAUUGGAAGCAUAAUGCUAAAUGUUUCUUGUUCAUUUAUCCAAACAUCGUUGUACGUGUAACAUCAUGAAUUCCCUCACGCCUUUACCUAAAGAGUUUUCUACAUUAUAUCCUGUCAUGGAUAUCAUGCUCUGCCUGACCUUGGGAACGAUAUACCCUUGAAUUAUGUGUUUAAGCACAUUUUCCUUUCCAUUGGUUUGUUUGACCUUUCUUGUGAUCUAUAUAAUCUAAGCAGUAUUAAUUCACUGCUUAUGUAAACACCUCGGUGUACAACUAUGUCAGUGAGACCCUAUUUCUACUGUUGAUGACAUUCCGGUAGCCACCGAUGGAUGAGAAUUUUGCUGAUUGGUCCGCCUCGUUCCACGAGCAAGAAAAUGGUUCUCUUCGUCCCUCGCCCUUGGUACCGACGUUGUUGCCGACGUUAUUGAUAGGCUACCCUCUGACAUGCCUUGCUAUCAUGACCAUGCAAGAUGUCACCGCUCCUCCUACUUUUAACCGACAUGGUGGGCCCAUAACCCACAGUUUCAAAGGAUCGAAACCUGACUCUCCAAUACACCCCAGCUCCUAAAGGUUAUUCCUCAUGCUUGGCUUCGUAUGUAAUUCAUGAGCCACCUUCCAAGAGAUUAUCAAUUCUGGUAUCAGACAUAAUACUUAUUCCCGUUGCUCUAAAACUCCUUUUACACAUUGUUUUAGGCUUCGAACGAUUGCCUACCCGCUUGAAACUUCUCAUGAUACUUUCUUACUUUGCUCUCGAUAUUUUCUUAAGUUUCAGUUCGAGAGUUACUUUCCGCCACCUUCCCCAAUGUUAGCUACCAGAUAGUCAACCUUGCAGGUGCGUUUUCUCCUGGAAUAUACCCACCAUUUAUUAUUUCGUAAGUACAUUGGAGUUUCUGAAGAAACGAUGCCGACUUCAUCGUGAUGACCUAAAGCAGAGGAAUGAAGACAUCAACGUAGUGGACCGACCUCUUCAAGAAGAUCAGCCAAGAACGAGAAGAUCCAUUAGAAUUUCAUACCCACAACUUUCCCCCUAACUCCACCUCUUAAAUUUCGGGACGAGAUUUCUUGUAGUGGGCGAGAUUUGUGACACCCCAAGAAUCAUGCUAUAGUAAUAUCCCCCUAAUAGUGACCAUGUCAUCAUGAUUACUAAGCAAAUUGCCGCCUGUCCCAAUUCAAAGGCAAGAUUCAAAUUUAAAUUGCAAGUGGAAUUAUUCAUUCUUCGAGCAGUAAAACUAAAAUGUCCGCUUUAUUCUAUAAAUCCCAUGAUCGUUGUCAUGUUGAAACCAACUUCAUUUGACUCACCAAUAAAUUCCUAGAAAAAUAAUAAGUGGUCCUACUACAAAUAUAUUGGUCUUUUCAAAUCAAAUAAAUGCUUAUGAAUUUCAAAUUGACUUGAAACUUUGUGGGCCUCUCUAGAGUAAUGACAUAUAUUUAUGUGUGAAGUUUCAUCAAUAGCAACAAUUGUUUGCCCACUCAAAUAAAUGCAAAAAGUAGCUAUUUAGUUGAUAGCAAAAAAAGAGAACAAAAGCCUACCUAAUGUGUACUUGGCCCCUAGGUCUACUCGAAGGCCCAGCCCACAUCCCCCACUUGUCUCCCUCCUCGCGCUACAGGAGACAGGAAGGGGAUCGUGGAAGCCAUCCUAUGGUCGUGGCCACGUGCCGGGCAUCCAUGGCCUCCCCUCACCUACAUAACUACGCCGGCGCCCCCUGGAAACCAUAGCGCCACUUUCCCUUCCCCUCACUCGCCCCCAUCUCUCUCUGCCCCGCUCACACCCGCCGCCGUCCGCGACCCCCAUGGCCGCACCGCCGUGAAGCUUGCGGCCACAGUCGACCCUGGCGCCUAGGAGCUUGACCAUCGGCCUCGUCAUCCUCGUCUACAUCGUCCCCGCCUCUAGAUCGAGGCCAAAAUGCUGCCUCGCCGUCGCUAGCCUCCUGCAUCUCCAUCACGGCCGCCGCGUUUCGCCGGUCACCUGCGCAUCCUCGACCAGCCACGGCCGCCCCGAGCACUCCAUCGAGCUCCGCG